This 436-nucleotide long non-coding RNA is filed under the name Vitis vinifera (wine grape). RNAcentral describes it as "long non-coding RNA (VVIN_LNC003166)". Lineage: Eukaryota; Viridiplantae; Streptophyta; Magnoliopsida; Vitales; Vitaceae. The record is from RNAcentral.
UACACUGGGGCAUACCCCACUCAUCGAUGACAGUUUCUUUCGGGAUGAUGUUUUGCAUUGAGGCAUAGUCGGUUUGCUUCUUUCACAUUGGAUUAUGAUGGAUCAGGAGUUGUUGGAUGACCCUACACUAGGGCAUAGCCAUUUCAGAGAGCGCUUUUAUUGGAGAUACAGUCACUCUACUCGAUGCUCUGCAUUGGGACACGUUCCACUCAUUGAUAGUUGAUUUUUGAGAUGACGAUUUAUUUUGAGGCGUGACCUUCUCAUUGGUGAUGGACUUUGAUUUUUCAUUGGAGCAUAGUCACUUCAGAUGGUUUAUACUGGGGCAUAGCCAAUUCAUUCGUACUCAUAGAGCUCGGGGAUUCUGAUUCAUAUGGAUUAUGUUGAGAGGUUUCCAUUUUUAGCACCAGGAGUAGAGAUUGAUUGAUUUGUUGACUCG